CAGCCGCCACGGGAAUACGUAGGUGGCAAGCGUUGUCCGGAAUUAUUGGGCGUAAAGGGCUCGCAGGCGGUUUCUUAAGUCUGAUGUGAAAGCCCCCGGCUCAACCGGGGAGGGUCAUUGGAAACUGGGAAACUUGAGUGCAGAAGAGGAGAGUGGAAUUCCACGUGUAGUGGUGAAAUGCGUAGAGAUGUGGAGGAACACCAGUGGCGAAGGCGACUCUCUGGUCUGUAACUGACGCUGAGGAGCGAAAGCGUGGGGAGCGAGCAGGAUUAGAUACCCGCGUAGUCCCUGUCUCUUAUAC
Molecule: ribosomal RNA, 301 nt
Filed under: uncultured bacterium
Lineage: Bacteria
Description: partial 16S ribosomal RNA
Rfam family: Bacterial small subunit ribosomal RNA
Source: RNAcentral